CAGUCGCCACGGUAAUACGUAGGGUGCAAGCGUUAAUCGGAAUUACUGGGCGUAAAGCGUGCGCAGGCGGUUUGUUAAGUCAGAUGCGAAAUCCCCGGGCUCAACCUGGGAACUGCAUUUGAGACUGUAUGGCUAGAGUGUGUCAGAGGGGGGUAGAAUUCCACGUGUAGCAGUGAAAUGCGUAGAUAUGUGGAGGAAUACCGAUGGCGAAGGCAGCCCCCUGGGAUAACACUGACGCUCAUGCACGAAAGCGUGGGGAGCAAACAGGAUUAGAUACCCGAGUAGUCCCUGUCUCUUAUAA
This 301-nucleotide ribosomal RNA is filed under the name uncultured bacterium. RNAcentral describes it as "partial 16S ribosomal RNA". It matches the Rfam family "Bacterial small subunit ribosomal RNA", at positions 509 to 809 of the family's 1533-position model. The record is from RNAcentral.